RNAcentral lists this ribosomal RNA (498 nucleotides) under uncultured bacterium. RNAcentral describes it as "bacterial SSU rRNA". It matches the Rfam family "Bacterial small subunit ribosomal RNA", at positions 21 to 518 of the family's 1533-position model. The record is from RNAcentral.
GGCUCAGGACGAACGCUGGCGGCGUGCCUAACACAUGCAAGUCGAACGAAGCUCCUGCGUGGAAGUCUUCGGAUGAAGCAAAGGAAGACUAGUGGCGGACGGGUGAGUAACGCGUGAGCAACCUGCCUUCAGAGGGGGAGUAACAGUUGGAAACGACUGCUAAUACCGCAUAACAUAUUGAUGUCGCAUGGCAUUGAUAUCAAAGCUGAGGCGCUGAGAGAUGGGCUCGCGUCCGAUUAGAUAGUUGGUGGGUAACGGCCUACCAAGUCGACGAUCGGUAGCCGGACUGAGAGGUUGAACGGCCACAUUGGGACUGAGACACGGCCCAGACUCCUACGGGAGGCAGCAGUGGGGGAUAUUGCACAAUGGGCGAAAGCCUGAUGCAGCAACGCCGCGUGAGGGAAGACGGUUUUCGGAUUGUAAACCUCUGUCUUUGGUGAAGAAGAAAGUGACGGUAGCCAAGGAGGAAGCCACGGCUAACUACGUGCCAGCAGCUGC